GAUGCAGGAAUAGCAAAUGGUGGACAAAAUGUGAAUUAAGUCGCCGCCAAAAAUCCUCGGUGAGGUGCGAGUGCAAACAAUCGUAUCGGUAGGGCAAGGAUUGGAAAAACUACCUUUGUGUUGCACUGAAAGACUUGACUUCUACUCGUGUCUCUUUAGAUUAGGAUAUAAAAAAUUGUCCCUACAUACUUACUUAUUAAACUGACGAAAAAGGCUGCCUUAUGUACCGUUUGAAACUGUUAUGACAUUAUAUAUCAAACUCACAGAGACUUUAUGAGAUCAAUUAAAUAGUAGAAUGAUCAAUUGUUCAAUAAAAUGUUUUAUUUUUCUAUUCAUCCAGUUAAGUGAUAAAAAUAGAUUAGUAUGAGUAAUUACGUGUAUACAUUUUAUACUUAUUAUGAAACUUAAAGUUUAUUCGUAUUUUACCUAGAAGCCUUCACAUUUUUUUGCCUUCUUAAUUAUAAAUAUACACUCAAUGACCAAACAGUAAACGUCUGCAAUAUAUCUAUAUGUGUUCAACAUGUAGGGGAAUAAACUUUGAAACUGUU
Long non-coding RNA from Mya arenaria, 548 nucleotides. RefSeq lists it as uncharacterized. The transcript is spliced from 2 exons. NCBI's taxonomy places the organism in Eukaryota, Metazoa, Mollusca, Bivalvia, Myida, Myidae. The record is from RefSeq and is a predicted model, not a curated record.